GAUUCCUUUGGAGGAAAUGAAAAUAAGGGGCCAGAAGAAAUUUUCCUGUAUCAUUAAGGAGAUCAUCUAUGGAAGUGACAGAGAACAUUUUAGAGACUUCAUGCCCAAACUACAAUCUUCAUACCACAUGCUCUUGCCUUCUGUAGAUGUCUUAGAAAGGGAAUUCAGGAAAGAUUCUGAUUUUCUGGAGUCAUUAUAAAUGAGGACAGUAACGACCACUUAUGAGGAAUCUGACAACUAUGCAAGUGAAUGAACACAAUAAAGGGUUUCUUUCCAGCA
RNAcentral lists this long non-coding RNA (279 nucleotides) under Monodelphis domestica (gray short-tailed opossum). Its description in RNAcentral is "lncRNA (ENSMODG00000046708.1)". The record is from RNAcentral. Lineage: Eukaryota; Metazoa; Chordata; Mammalia; Didelphimorphia; Didelphidae.